Helianthus annuus (common sunflower) is the source of this 277-nucleotide long non-coding RNA. RefSeq lists it as uncharacterized. The record is from RefSeq and is a predicted model, not a curated record. Lineage: Eukaryota; Viridiplantae; Streptophyta; Magnoliopsida; Asterales; Asteraceae. The transcript has 3 exons.
AAUACAGCUGGAACUCAGAACGCGUCGUCUCUGGAUGGUUAAAGAAAGCAGAUUAAAGCAAAAGAAGCUUCCAAAUCAGUUGAAAAUUCAGUCCAAGUCUCAUGAACUAGAGGUUAUUGAAACAUUGAACACCCAAUUCGCCUCGGUCUGGCUCUCAAUUUCUGUGUCUUUUAAUAUGAAAUUUUGAACUCUCCAGACCGCGCUUGCAGCCUUGCAAAACAGGCUUUUGAUGAAGCAAUUGCAGAGCCAGAUACUUUAGGUGAGGAGUCUCACAAUA